RNAcentral lists this ribosomal RNA (254 nucleotides) under uncultured bacterium. Its description in RNAcentral is "partial 16S ribosomal RNA". It matches the Rfam family "Bacterial small subunit ribosomal RNA", at positions 524 to 776 of the family's 1533-position model. The record is from RNAcentral.
UACGGGGGGAGCAAGCGUUGUUCGGAUUUACUGGGCGUAAAGGGCGCGUAGGCGGCCACCGCAAGUCGGUUGUGAAAUCUCUGGGCUUAACCCAGAAAGGUCAACCGAUACUGCGGGGCUAGAGUGCAGAAGGGGCAACUGGAAUUCUCGGUGUAGCGGUGAAAUGCGUAGAUAUCGAGAGGAACACCAGUGGCGAAGGCGCUGUCCUGGGCCACCACUGACGCUGAUACGCGAAGGCGUGGGGAGCGAACGGG